This 219-nucleotide long non-coding RNA is filed under the name Homo sapiens (human). Its description in RNAcentral is "HSALNT0373856". Lineage: Eukaryota; Metazoa; Chordata; Mammalia; Primates; Hominidae. The record is from RNAcentral.
AGUUCUUCUAGGGGCAGCAGAGCUUCUUCAACCCCACUGCAAGUUGACUGACACCCUUCAAUACUCUCUUGACCCUACAGAUAAUGCUCAUCAAUUCCUCUAUGCCACAGAACUGUAACACUUAGAAGACUCUGUGGAAUACGAACACUUCUCUGAUUUAUCCUCAUGAAAUUGUUUUCCUGAUGAAAGGAGUGUUCUUCAGAAGAAUACAGAAUGGAU